Molecule: ribosomal RNA, 429 nt
Filed under: Acidobacteriota bacterium
Lineage: Bacteria; Pseudomonadati; Acidobacteriota
Description: Acidobacteria bacterium partial 16S ribosomal RNA
Rfam family: Bacterial small subunit ribosomal RNA
Source: RNAcentral
UGGGGAAUUUUGGACAAUGGGGGAAACCCUGAUCCAGCCAUCCCGCGUGUGCGAUGAAGGCCUUCGGGUUGUAAAGCACUUUUGGCAGGAAAGAAACGUCAUGGGUCAAUACCCCGUGAAACUGAUGGCAUCUGCAGAAUAAGCACCGGCUAACUACGUGCCAGCAGCCGCGGUAAUACGUAUGGUGCAAGCGUUAAUCGGAAUUACUGGGCGUAAAGCGUGCGCAGGCGGCUCGGGAAGAAGGAUGUGAAAUCCCAGGGCUCAACUUUGGAACUGCAUUUUUAACUACCGGGCUAGAGUGUGUCAGAGGGAGGUGGAAUUCCGCGUGUAGCAGUGAAAUGCGUAGAUAUGCGGAGGAACACCGAUGGCGAAGGCGGCCUCCUGGGAUAACACUGACGCUCAUGCACGAAAGCGUGGGGAGCAAACAGG